This 253-nucleotide ribosomal RNA is filed under the name uncultured prokaryote. RNAcentral's name for it is "partial 16S ribosomal RNA". It matches the Rfam family "Bacterial small subunit ribosomal RNA", at positions 525 to 777 of the family's 1533-position model. The record is from RNAcentral.
ACAGAGGGUGCGAGCGUUAAUCGGAAUUACUGGGCGUAAAGCGCACGUAGGCGGCUUUGUAAGUUAGAGGUGAAAGCCCAGAGCUCAACUCUGGAACUGCCUUUAAGACUGCAUCGCUUGAAUUGUGGAGAGGUAAGCGGAAUUCCUGGUGUAGCGGUGAAAUGCGUAGAUAUCAGGAGGAACACCUGUGGUGUAGACAGCUUACUGGACCACUUCUGACGCUGAGACACGAAAGCGUGGGUAGCAAACAGGA